GGAUCAGAAACGCCCUAGUAUGACCUACUGUCCUUUUUCUUCCUGUUCCGGCCUUCCCUUCCCGGAAACGAGCUCCGUUCGGGGUAGUUGUUGCAAAGUGAAACUUAAAGGAAUGACGGAAGGGCACCACCAGGAGUGGAGCCUGGGCUUAAUUUGACUCAACACGGGAAAACUCACCCGGCCCGACACCGUGAGGAUUGACAGAUUGAUAGCUUUUUCAUGAUUCGGUGGUUGGGGUGCAUGGCCGUUCUUAGUUCGUGGAUCGAUUUGUCUGGUUAUUCCGAUAAGAGGAGACUCUAGCCUACUAACUAGUGGCGGCAUUCCGCUGUUCGCACUUCUGAGGGAUUGGCUCGUCCGCAGCACGAAAUUGAGCAAUAACAGGUCUGUGAUGCCCUUAGAUGUCCGGGGCUGCACGCGCGCUACACUGGCAAAGGCAGCGUGCUUGUCCUUCUCCGAAAGGACCCCCGAACCCCUGGAAACCCCCCCCCCAUUUGAAGGGCCCCCCCCUUUUGACCCCCCCCCCCCUUUGAACCUCCCCCCCCCC
This 544-nucleotide ribosomal RNA is filed under the name Paratylenchus labiosus. Its description in RNAcentral is "partial 18S ribosomal RNA". The stretch from base 81 to 544 matches the Rfam family "Eukaryotic small subunit ribosomal RNA", at positions 1117 to 1600 of the family's 1831-position model. Lineage: Eukaryota; Metazoa; Nematoda; Chromadorea; Rhabditida; Tylenchulidae. The record is from RNAcentral.